Long non-coding RNA from Scophthalmus maximus (turbot), 784 nucleotides. RefSeq lists it as uncharacterized. The transcript has 2 exons. Lineage: Eukaryota; Metazoa; Chordata; Actinopteri; Pleuronectiformes; Scophthalmidae. The record is from RefSeq and is a predicted model, not a curated record.
AAUCCAGAUACUAUAGUAGACAAAGUUGCUGCUACCAAGGUUUUUAACUCCGCUUGCUGUGACCAUCAAGUGACCACAGGUGUCACAAAAUCAAAAUUUCAUAAUUGAAAUGUUGAGGCCAAUAUUUAUUUGGUCAUGUCUCAGAAAUGUAACAAUAAAACAAUGUGUGCAAAAGAAGCAAUUAGCAAGAGAGAGCCCACAUGAAGCAUAUGUUCACACUCACAAUAUGUUCUCUCUUGUUAUAUUUAAAGAAAAGUUUCGCGGCAUGGUUGGCAUUAAGUUCAUAUUCUCAAUCCAAAAUGAAAUAUGAUCAGGAAUGUUUCUAUGGGACACGUAGUUCAAACGCUGCCGUAGCAACAUGCCGGUGAGGAUGCAGGUACUUUUCCUCAGAGCUCCGGAGGAAGUUGUCAGACGCCAUUUUGGAGAUUAACGGAGGAGGCGUUAACCAGCGGCAGCGUUAGCAUCAUGGCUAACUCAAUAAGCAGAGAACAACUGUAACAACAAAACUACCACGAGUGAGGUAUAAGUGCUAAGACAAUCAUCGAUCCCCCAGCCAGCAGCUGUCCGAGAGAAUGAGCUCCAGGUGAAGGCCCACGGCUCUCAGGCUCAGCUUUGGUUUCGGCCUCAUCACACUUUCAUGAGGAGCUUACAGGCCACAAUGGAGGCUCCUUAAGAUGCAUCGUAAGGCCCCUCAGACCAGCAAAUGCUAUAAAGGGCUUCCAGUGACCACGAAACCUUUGAAAUGUCAUUAUCUCCCGAUAUUUUAAUAAAUUCAACGCUCACA